GAUAAACGCUGGCGGCGCACAUAAGACAUGCAAGUCGAACGAACUUAACCAUUUAGUUUACUAUUGGAGCGGUUAGUGGCGGACUGGUGAGUAACACGUAAGCAACCUGCCUAUCAGAGGGGAACAACAGUUAGAAAUGACUGCUAAUACCGCAUAUGCCUUAGAAUCACAUGGUUCAAAAGGGAAAGGAGCAAUCCGCUGAUAGAUGGGCUUGCGUCUGAUUAGCUAGUUGGUGGGGUAACGGCCUACCAAGGCGACGAUCAGUAGCCGAACUGAGAGGUUGAACGGCCACAUUGGGACUGAGAUACGGCCCAGACUCCUACGGGAGGCAGCAGUCGGGAAUAUUGCGCAAUGGAGGAAACUCUGACGCAGUGACGCCGCGUGCAGGAAGAAGGUUUUCGGAUUGUAAACUGCUUUAGACAGGGAAGAACAAAGACAGUACCUGUAGAAUAAGCUCCGGC
This 461-nucleotide ribosomal RNA is filed under the name uncultured bacterium. RNAcentral describes it as "bacterial SSU rRNA". It matches the Rfam family "Bacterial small subunit ribosomal RNA", at positions 28 to 497 of the family's 1533-position model. The record is from RNAcentral.